Molecule: ribosomal RNA, 494 nt
Filed under: uncultured bacterium
Lineage: Bacteria
Description: partial 16S ribosomal RNA
Rfam family: Bacterial small subunit ribosomal RNA
Source: RNAcentral
GACGAACGCUGGCGGCGUGCUUAACACAUGCAAGUCGAACGGUGAAGCGCCUUCCUUUUUGGUGGGUGUGGAUGAGUGGCGAACGGGUGAGUAACACGUGAGUAACCUGCCCCCUUCUUCUGGAUAACCGCAUGAAAGUGUGGCUAAUACGGGAUAUUCUGGGUCUGUCGCAUGAUGGGUCUGGGAAAGAUAUUGUUUCGGUGGGGGAUGGGCUCGCGGCCUAUCAGCUUGUUGGUGGGGUGAUGGCCUACCAAGGCGGUGACGGGUAGCCGGCCUGAGAGGGUGGACGGUCACACUGGGACUGAGACACGGCCCAGACUCCGACGGGAGGCAGCAGGGGGGAAUAUUGCACAGUGGGCGCAAGGCUGAUGCAGCGACGCCGCGUGAGGGAUGGAGGCCUUCGGGUUGUGAACCUCUUUCGCCAGUGAAGCAGGCCUGCCUCGUUUGUGGGUGGGUUGACGGUAGCUGGAUAAGAAGCGCCGGCUAACUACGUG